AUCCGCUCAGAUUGAACGCUGGCGGCAUGCCUUACACAUGCAAGUCGAACGGCAGCACGGAGCUUGCUCUGGUGGCGAGUGGCGAACGGGUGAGUAAUAUAUCGGAACGUACCCUAGAGUGGGGGAUAACGUAGCGAAAGUUACGCUAAUACCGCAUACGAUCUAAGGAUGAAAGUGGGGGAUCGCAAGACCUCAUGCUCGUGGAGCGGCCGAUAUCUGAUUAGCUAGUUGGUAGGGUAAAAGCCUACCAAGGCAUCGAUCAGUAGCUGGUCUGAGAGGACGACCAGCCACACUGGAACUGAGACACGGUCCAGACUCCUACGGGAGGCAGCAGUGGGGAAUUUUGGACAAUGGGCGAAAGCCUGAUCCAGCAAUGCCGCGUGAGUGAAGAAGGCCUUCGGGUUGUAAAGCUCUUUUGUCAGGGAAGAAACGGUGAGAGCUAAUAUCUCUGCUAAUGACG
RNAcentral lists this ribosomal RNA (460 nucleotides) under Janthinobacterium sp. A1. RNAcentral's name for it is "bacterial SSU rRNA". It matches the Rfam family "Bacterial small subunit ribosomal RNA", at positions 18 to 474 of the family's 1533-position model. The record is from RNAcentral. Lineage: Bacteria; Pseudomonadati; Pseudomonadota; Betaproteobacteria; Burkholderiales; Oxalobacteraceae.